Molecule: long non-coding RNA, 1091 nt
Filed under: Salvator merianae (Argentine black and white tegu)
Lineage: Eukaryota; Metazoa; Chordata; Lepidosauria; Squamata; Teiidae
Description: lncRNA (ENSSMRG00000002278.1)
Source: RNAcentral
GGUGUCUCCCUUCCUCUGGAUAGACUUAAUUCGACCAAUUAUGAAUUCUGGUCAAUUAAAAUGCAGGCUUAUCUCAUAAAGGAAGGUUUAUGGGAUGUUGUAGAGAAUACUCCAGCCGAUGAUGACCGUGCUGGGCAAAGGACUGACAGACGUGCCAAAGCCUGCAUAAUUCUUGCUGUAGAGGACUCACAGCUGUUGCAUAUCAGGUCGGAAGUAAAUGCUGCUGCCUGCUGGGCAAAGUUGAAAGCCAUUUACCAACGUGAAACUGCAGGAGUUAAAAUGCUGUUAUGUCGUAAGCUGUAUAAUUUAAGGCUGCAGCCUAAUGCUUCGCUUACUGAACAUAUCAAUCAAAUGCGUUCAUUAUUUGAUCAGCUUGAUAUGAGAGGAAUGCACAUAGAGGAUGUACAGAGGCCCUACAUUUUGUUAUCAUCCUUAGACAGUAAUUGGGAGCAAUUAAUAUUGAGUCUACAGCAUAUUGACGAAGCACUGCUUACUUUUGACUUUGUAGCAACAAAACUCAUUGACUGUGAAAAGCAGCGUGUUUAUCAAAGAGAGCAAGCUCAUUCCUCAAAAGGGACAUUAGCUGGUGCAAGUUCUUCUGUUGCUGCUUCCUUGACAAAUGCACCAAAAGCCUUAAAGUGUUUUAAAUGUGGUCGCAUGGGACAUAUGGCUAAAAAUUGUACAAAGCCCAAACAAAAGAGAGGUUCUUACAAGAAGCCGUUUGAUAAAGGGGACUCAAUGGAACAUGUUUUGUUUGUUGCUUGUGAAAGUAAAAGAGCCUCCUGGCUUAUUGACUCAGCUUGCACCCAGCAUAUUGUCAAUGCACCUUCUCUCAUGUCUGAGGAUGCACACCAGCCUUUACAGAGCCACAUUUGCCUUGCUGAUGGAACUACAUCUCAAGUUCUACUUCAGGGAUCUUCGUUUGUUCCUUCAUUGAAUAGGAAGAUCAGCAAUGUGUUAUGUGUACCAGCACUGGACUAUUGUUUGCUAAGUGUUAGCAGGUUAGCUGAGGAAGGCUACCAUAUUGAGUUUAAAGACAAACAGUGUUUGGUGAAACGUGAUGGGGUUAUAUGUGCUCAAGGUAUCAUGCA